CGUUAGCGGCGGGCCUAACACAUGCAAGUCGAACGCGAAAGGUCUUCGGACUGAUUAGAGUGGCGCGACGGUGAGUACACGUAGGUAAUCUACCUUGGCGGGGAUAACGUCCGAAAGGAGCGCUAAUACCGCAUAAGACCACGGAGUCUCCGGACGCUGUGGGAAAAGGUGGCCUCUUCUUGAAAGCUAUCACCGGAGGAUGAGCCUGCGUCCCAUCAGCUAGUUGGUAAGGUAAUGGCUUACCAAGGCAAAGACGGGUAGCUGGUUUGAGAGAAUGAUCAGCCACACUGGCACUGGAACACGGGCCAGACUCCUACGGGAGGCAGCAGUGAGGAAUAUUGGGCAAUGGGCGAAAGCCUGACCCAGCCACGCCGCGUGAGUGAUGAAGGCCCUCGGGUCGUAAAGCUCUGUGGAGAGGGACGAAAAACCUGGGGUCUAAUAGGCCCCGGACUUGACGGUACCUCUUUAGCAAGCACCGGCUAACUCUGUG
RNAcentral lists this ribosomal RNA (490 nucleotides) under uncultured bacterium. RNAcentral's name for it is "bacterial SSU rRNA". It matches the Rfam family "Bacterial small subunit ribosomal RNA", at positions 34 to 507 of the family's 1533-position model. The record is from RNAcentral.